GGGCCCGUAGCUCAGCUGGUUAGAGCAUUCGACUCAUAAUCGACAGGUCGACAGUUCAAGUCUGUCCGGGCCCACCA
Molecule: transfer RNA, 77 nt
Filed under: Oleispira sp.
Lineage: Bacteria; Pseudomonadati; Pseudomonadota; Gammaproteobacteria; Oceanospirillales; Oceanospirillaceae
Description: tRNA-Ile
Rfam family: tRNA
About the family: Transfer RNA (tRNA) molecules are approximately 80 nucleotides in length. Their secondary structure includes four short double-helical elements and three loops (D, anti-codon, and T loops).
Source: RNAcentral